RNAcentral lists this long non-coding RNA (199 nucleotides) under Carica papaya (papaya). RNAcentral describes it as "long non-coding RNA (CPAP_LNC007888)". The record is from RNAcentral. Lineage: Eukaryota; Viridiplantae; Streptophyta; Magnoliopsida; Brassicales; Caricaceae.
UUUAUAGAAAAUGGAGACCAUUAGAUUUGCACUAAGUGACAAAAUUUGGUAAGGAGAGAGAAAGUUAAUGGGGGAAGAAGUGAUUUGAUGCGACGCGACGCUGGUGCAAAAAAAGAUGCAUGCCUCCCAAUCGACAGCAGCACACAACCCAAGACUAUUGUGGCACACCGCCCAAUUGACGGCACAAGUCGCUCAAGGC